GAUGAACGCUGGCGGCGUGCUUAACACAUGCAAGUCGAACGAAGCAGCUGGAAUUCUUCGGAAUGAUAGUUGACUGAGUGGCGGAUGGGUGAGUAACGCGUGGGUAACCUGCCUCAUACAGGGGGAUAACAGUUAGAAAUGACUGCCAAUACCGCAUAAGACCACAGCACCGCAUGGUGUAGGGGUAAAAGCCGAGACGGUAUGAGAUGGACCCGCGUCUGAUUAGCUAGUUGGUGGGGCAACGGCCUACCAAGGCGACGAUCAGUAGCCGACCUGAGAGGGUGACCGGCCACAUUGGGACUGAGACACGGCCCAA
Molecule: ribosomal RNA, 316 nt
Filed under: uncultured bacterium
Lineage: Bacteria
Description: bacterial SSU rRNA
Rfam family: Bacterial small subunit ribosomal RNA
Source: RNAcentral